UAUUGGUCAAUGGGCGCAAGCCUGAACCAGCCAUGCCGCGUGCAGGAAGACGGCCCUAUGGGUUGUAAACUGCUUUUGUACCGGAAUAAACCUUGAUAUGUAUAUCAAGCUGAAUGUACGGUAAGAAUAAGGAUCGGCUAACUCCGUGCCAGCAGCCGCGGUAAUACGGAGGAUCCAAGCGUUAUCCGGAUUUAUUGGGUUUAAAGGGUGCGUAGGUGGCCUAUUAAGUCAGGGGUGAAAGACGGUAGCUUAACUAUCGCAGUGCCUUUGAUACUGAUGGGCUUGAAUACAGUUGAAGUAGGCGGAAUGUGACAAGUAGCGGUGAAAUGCAUAGAUAUGUCACAGAACACCGAUUGCGAAGGCAGCUUACUAAAGUGUGAUUGACACUGAGGCACGAAAGCGUGGGGAUCAAACAGG
Molecule: ribosomal RNA, 417 nt
Filed under: uncultured bacterium
Lineage: Bacteria
Description: bacterial SSU rRNA
Rfam family: Bacterial small subunit ribosomal RNA
Source: RNAcentral